This 84-nucleotide transfer RNA is filed under the name Candidatus Pelagibacter sp. Its description in RNAcentral is "tRNA-Asn". It matches the Rfam family "tRNA". From Rfam's summary of the family: Transfer RNA (tRNA) molecules are approximately 80 nucleotides in length. Their secondary structure includes four short double-helical elements and three loops (D, anti-codon, and T loops). Further hydrogen bonds mediate the characteristic L-shaped molecular structure. tRNAs have two regions of fundamental functional importance: the anti-codon, which is responsible for specific mRNA codon recognition, and the 3' end, to which the tRNAs corresponding amino acid is attached (by aminoacyl-tRNA synthetases). tRNAs cope with the degeneracy of the genetic code in two manners: having more than one tRNA (with a specific anti-codon) for a particular amino acid; and 'wobble' base-pairing, i.e. permitting non-standard base-pairing at the 3rd anti-codon position. The record is from RNAcentral. Lineage: Bacteria; Pseudomonadati; Pseudomonadota; Alphaproteobacteria; Candidatus Pelagibacterales; Candidatus Pelagibacteraceae.
UGGAGUAUGGUGGAAUUGGCAGACACGCUAUCCUGUUUAGAUGGUGAUAUUUAUAUCGUGGGGGUUCGAUUCCUUCUGCUCCAG